UACGUAGGGGGCAAGCGUUAUCCGGAUUCACUGGGUUUAAAGGGUGCGUAGGUGGAUUAGUAAGUCAGUGGUGAAAUCUCCGGGCUUAACCCGGAAACUGCCAUUGAUACUAUUAGUCUUGAAUACCGUGGAGGUCAGCGGAAUAUGUCAUGUAGCGGUGAAAUGCUUAGAUAUGACAUAGAACACCAAUUGCGAAGGCAGCUGGCUACACGAAUAUUGACACUCAGGCACGAAAGCGUGGGGAACAAACAGG
Molecule: ribosomal RNA, 253 nt
Filed under: uncultured bacterium
Lineage: Bacteria
Description: partial 16S ribosomal RNA
Rfam family: Bacterial small subunit ribosomal RNA
Source: RNAcentral